This is an RNA transcript of Balaenoptera musculus (blue whale), 1679 nucleotides long. It is a transcript of the gene named zinc finger protein 780A-like, with no coding region annotated. The transcript has 5 exons. The record is from RefSeq and is a predicted model, not a curated record. Lineage: Eukaryota; Metazoa; Chordata; Mammalia; Artiodactyla; Balaenopteridae.
UAUACCUCAGCCUUUCUCCCUACCGUUUGUGAUUGUUGGCGCGGCAGUGAGGUGUGGACUUUUGUAAGGAAAAAGUCAGCGCCCGGCCUCGGGGAGAGCUCUGCAGACUCGGACCAGCACCACCGGCUCUGAAUUUUCUAGAGUUUGAACCCUUCAGAUAGAAGAAGGCCAAGGAAGACUGAUCGGUUCUUACAUUUCUGAUAACAUGGCCCAAUUUCAGGAAUCAGUGACAUUCAGGGAUGUGGCCAUAGCCUUCGCUCAGCAGGAGUGGGAGAGUCUGGAUUCUGUUCAGAGGGUCUUGGACAGAGAUGUGAUGUUGGAGAACUAUAGGAACUUGGUCUCCCUGGGUCAUUCCUGUUCUAAACCACAUGUGAUUACCUUAUUGGAACAAUGGAAGGAGCCCUGGAUGAUAGUGAAGAAAGAUCAAGGAAGACAAUACACAGUUUCAACGUAUUCCUGUUAAUGAAAAUAGAAAUAUCAACCAAUGUUCAUUUUAACAAUAGGCAAAAGAUAUGAAUGGACAUUUCACCAAAGAAGAUAUAUGGGUGGCAAAUAAACACAUAAAAAAUGCUCAAAAUUAUGAGUCAUUACAGAAAUUCAAGGUAAAACCACAAUGAGAUUCUACUACAACAUGCCUAUUAGAAUAGCAAACAUUAAAAACACUGAUUAUAGCAGUUGCUGGUGAACAUGUGGAAGAACUGGAACUCUUAUUCAGUGCUGUGUGAAACACAUAUGGUAUAGCCGCUUUAGAACACAAUUUGGCAGUUUGCAAAAUUUUUAAAUAUUCACCUGCCCUGUGACAAAGGCAUUGCACUCCUACAUAUUAACACAAGAGAAAUAAAAGCGUAGGCCCAUAUGAAAACUUGUACAUUCAUGGUCAUAGUAGCUUAAUUUGUAAUAGCCAAAAGCCUGUAUGUCAUUUAACAGAAGAAAGUGUUUAAAAAUUGCAGUGCAUUUGAUUAAGGAAUCUGGGAGGAUGGUAGAGCAGGAAGAACCAGGAACUUGUCUCCCCAACUAGACAACAAUUGUAUUGACAAAAUGUAUCUUAUAUACCUAUUUUGGAACUCUGGGGUCUGUUCAAAGGCUUACAACUUCCAGAGGAAAGCUUAAGACAGUAAAUUGCAGUUAAUUUUGGUCAAUUUCAGCCCUUAGCACUGUAACAGCUACCCAUCCCCCACACACUUGCCCUGUGGCUGGCAGUUCUGCAUGUGUCCCUGGAGCAGCUUGCACGCAGUUGGUGGGAACCUGGGUGAAACCCUGCUCUUUAAAUAUUGAGGACUUGUGCUGUGAUCUAUUGCUGCUUCUGACUGCAGAGGUGAAGACACAGAAGUGAGCAACCAUUUGUGUAAAUGUCAUCGCAUUGUUGCAAGCCCCUCCCUCUCCAGUUGAAGCGACUUCCAGGGGAUUUGCACCAGCACAUGUUCCCCCCUUCAUUUUUCUCUUUUCUCCUUUUGGAAGCCAGAUUUUUAGGGCUAAGACAUUUCAAAGCAAUCACAUAUACAGGGGAAUUUGGAAAGUCAUGACACAUGUAAAGGCACAAGCUCAGAAAAGACCUGAGAAGACCUUAAGUUUACACCUCAGGUUGAUCACCAGCAGAGACAGUCUACAACAAUUAAAAAAAUUUUUAAAAUAAAAAUGGCAAACCUUGCAGGGCAGAAAUUGAGACACAGAUGUAGAGA